This is a long non-coding RNA of Cervus elaphus (red deer), 805 nucleotides long. RefSeq lists it as uncharacterized. The transcript is spliced from 3 exons. Lineage: Eukaryota; Metazoa; Chordata; Mammalia; Artiodactyla; Cervidae. The record is from RefSeq and is a predicted model, not a curated record.
AAAUUUGAGCCAACUCUGGGAGAUAGUGAAGGACAGGGAAGCCUGGCAUGUUGCAGUCCAUGGGGUUGCAAAGAGUCGGACAUGACUUAGCAACUGAACAACAACAACAGAAGGUAAACUGGCAGGAUGAUGAGAGGGCAAGGCAUCCAGUAUCUACCUGUUCCCCAUACAGACUUCCAAUUCAGUGCUGUUGUCUUGCCCCUUUCACACCUGCUUUCAGAGAGACACACUUCAGUUCACUGUGACUGCGGUUCUACAGCCAGAAUCAGCAUGCUUCCUCUAUCAUCACCCUCUGCAGAAGCACAUGUUUCAUUUUCCUGGCUCUGCUAAGUCCAUGUCCCUGGAGCCCUCUCUCCCCCCACCUCUCUCUCAUUAGUGACCAAGGUCUUUGGAUCUACCUCUUUAAUACCUCUCCUCAUUCUCUCUCCUCCAUUCCCAUUUCUAAUGCCUCAGUAUAAGCCCCUAUCUUUUUUUUCCAGGUCAACUGUAAUUUAAAGAUUAUCUCUGUCUAGGAGUCCCAUCUCCUGGUAUUCAAUUGAACACUCACCCAGCUGUCUUUCUUAGGUGGUGCUUCCAUGUCUGCUGGAGAAGAAAUAAUAGGAUGUGUUAGAAGUGGCUGGAAUGAGCUGUAAAUUCAGCUAAGAAGGGAAUUAUGAUUGUGUAAAGAGAAGACCAGUACUUCAACUAAGACUAUGGUUACAAAAAUGAAAAGGAGAGGACUGGAGGAAGUAUUGAGAAAAACAAAAUAGGCUUCCCAAGUGACACCAGUGGUAAGGAAUCUGCCUGCCAAUGCAGGAGAUGUGGG